RNAcentral lists this transfer RNA (71 nucleotides) under Anabas testudineus (climbing perch). RNAcentral describes it as "tRNA-Thr". It matches the Rfam family "tRNA". Rfam says of the family: Transfer RNA (tRNA) molecules are approximately 80 nucleotides in length. Their secondary structure includes four short double-helical elements and three loops (D, anti-codon, and T loops). Lineage: Eukaryota; Metazoa; Chordata; Actinopteri; Anabantiformes; Anabantidae. The record is from RNAcentral.
GCAUUAGUAGCUCAGUGUUAGAGCAUCGGUCUUGUAAACCGGUUGCGGAGGUUAGAAUCCUCCCUAUUGCU